Molecule: ribosomal RNA, 261 nt
Filed under: uncultured prokaryote
Description: partial 16S ribosomal RNA
Rfam family: Bacterial small subunit ribosomal RNA
Source: RNAcentral
UACGUAUGGGGCAAGCGUUAUCCGGAAUUAUUGGGCGUAAAGAGCGCGCAGGUGGUUGAUUAAGUCUGAUGUGAAAGCCCACGGCUUAACCGUGGAGGGUCAUUGGAAACUGGUCGACUUGAGUGCAGAAGAGGGAAGUGGAAUUCCAUGUGUAGCGGUGAAAUGCGUAGAGAUAUGGAGGAACACCAGUGGCGAAGGCGGCUUCCUGGUCUGUAACUGACACUGAGGCGCGAAAGCGUGGGGAGCAAACAGGAUUAGAUA